This 447-nucleotide ribosomal RNA is filed under the name uncultured bacterium. Its description in RNAcentral is "bacterial SSU rRNA". It matches the Rfam family "Bacterial small subunit ribosomal RNA", at positions 28 to 504 of the family's 1533-position model. The record is from RNAcentral.
GAUGAACGCUGGCGGCGUGCCUAACACAUGCAAGUCGAGCGAACCCUUCGGGGUGAGCGGCGGACGGGUGAGUAACGCGUGGGUAACCUGCCCUGUACACACGGAUAACAUACCGAAAGGUAUGCUAAUACGAGAUAACACGUAAUGAUCGCAUGGUCGAUACAUCAAAGCUCCGGCGGUACAGGAUGGACCCGCGUCUGAUUAGCUAGUUGGUGAGGUAAUGGCUCACCAAGGCGACGAUCAGUAGCCGACCUGAGAGGGUGAUCGGCCACAUUGGAACUGAGACACGGUCCAAACUCCUACGGGAGGCAGCAGUGGGGAAUAUUGCACAAUGGGCGAAAGCCUGAUGCAGCAACGCCGCGUGAGCGAUGAAGGCCUUCGGGUCGUAAAGCUCUGUCCUCAAGGAAGAUAAUGACGGUACUUGAGGAGGAAGCCCCGGCUAACUAC